RNAcentral lists this transfer RNA (75 nucleotides) under Nocardia albiluteola. RNAcentral describes it as "Nocardia sp. NEAU-G5 tRNA-Val". It matches the Rfam family "tRNA". Rfam says of the family: Transfer RNA (tRNA) molecules are approximately 80 nucleotides in length. Their secondary structure includes four short double-helical elements and three loops (D, anti-codon, and T loops). RNAcentral also lists the same sequence under 5 other names. The record is from RNAcentral. Lineage: Bacteria; Bacillati; Actinomycetota; Actinomycetes; Mycobacteriales; Nocardiaceae.
GGUCCUAUAGCUCAGCGGGAGAGCGCUCGCCUCACACGCGAGAGGUCGCUGGUUCGAAACCAGCUAGGACCACCA